This is a small nucleolar RNA of Teleopsis dalmanni, 138 nucleotides long. RefSeq annotates it as small nucleolar RNA psi28S-1192. Lineage: Eukaryota; Metazoa; Arthropoda; Insecta; Diptera; Diopsidae. The transcript has a single exon. The record is from RefSeq and is a predicted model, not a curated record.
UGCCUGUCCACUCUAAUUCGCGUAAAGUUGCAUUAAAGCUUACGUCGCUUCGCUUGUGGACUAGAAAAAUUCUUUUUGUAAAAUCCUAGCAUUUGAAUAAUUUUAUAUUCCUAUGCUUCUCCAAAUACAAAAACAAAU